Long non-coding RNA from Mauremys mutica (yellowpond turtle), 259 nucleotides. RefSeq lists it as uncharacterized. The record is from RefSeq and is a predicted model, not a curated record. The transcript has 3 exons. Lineage: Eukaryota; Metazoa; Chordata; Testudines; Geoemydidae.
GAACAACUGGCUGUGAGUAAGAGUACCAAGGAAAAAUAAGUCACAUGUCAGAGUCUACUGCCCUCAUGCAAUGGAAAGUGAGUGAGAGCAGCAAGCCUGUGAGCAUUGUUCAUGCCAGGCAAGAGCCGUUCAUUUGGGAGCCAAGCAGAUGCCACUGUCAGUGAGAAGUGUCUGUUUUGCUGAGGGUUCUGUUAACAGCCCAUCUGACUCCAGUGUCCUCCACUGGAGAAGGUUGGAUCCAGGAGGAUGACUCCAGAUG